UUUUUUGGCAAAGGUGUUGUUUUCGUUUAUUUGUUCUCUCUCUUUUGCUCGCUUCCUUUAACCCUAAACCCUAAACCCAAUCUGUUAUGGAUGCGGUGGUGGGUGUGGCCACGACGGCGCUUCUUCAGGUGGUGAUGGUAGGGUUCAUUUAGGCUCAUGAGUUGAUUUAGGGUUUGGUUAUGUUGGGUUUGUGGGCUUUGUUUGGGUUUAUAACUAAUUGUGGUGAUGUGG
RNAcentral lists this long non-coding RNA (231 nucleotides) under Prunus persica (peach). RNAcentral describes it as "long non-coding RNA (PPER_LNC005928)". Lineage: Eukaryota; Viridiplantae; Streptophyta; Magnoliopsida; Rosales; Rosaceae. The record is from RNAcentral.